RNAcentral lists this ribosomal RNA (450 nucleotides) under uncultured bacterium. RNAcentral describes it as "partial 16S ribosomal RNA". It matches the Rfam family "Bacterial small subunit ribosomal RNA", at positions 354 to 796 of the family's 1533-position model. The record is from RNAcentral.
GUGGGGAAUAUUCCGCAAUGGACGAAAGUCUGACGGAGCAACGCCGCGUGAGUGAUGAAGGUUUUCGGAUCGUAAAGCUCUUUCGUUAGGGACGAACGUGCUCUUUGUGAAUAAUGAGGAGUAAUGACGGUACCUAAAUAAGAAGCCACGGCUAACUACGUGCCAGCAGCCGCGGUAAUACGUAGGUGGCAAGCGUUGUCCGGAAUUAUUGGGCGUAAAGCGCGCGCAGGCGGGAUAUCAAGUCUGUCUUAAAAGUGCGAGGCUCAACCUCGUGAGGGGACAGAAACUGGUAUUCUUGAGUGUCGGAGAGGAAAGUGGAAUUCCAAGUGUAGCGGUGAAAUGCGUAGAGAUUUGGAAGAACACCAGUAGCGAAGGCGACUUUCUGGACGACGUCUGACGCUGAGGCGCGAAAGCUAGGGGAGCGAACGGGAUUAGAAACCCCUGUAGUCC